CCAGCCACACUGGAACUGAGACACGGUCCAGACUCCUACGGGAGGCAGCAGUGGGGAAUAUUGCACAAUGGGCGCAAGCCUGAUGCAGCCAUGCCGCGUGUAUGAAGAAGGCCUUCGGGUUGUAAAGUACUUUCAGCGGGGAGGAAGGUGUUGUGGUUAAUAACCGCAGCAAUGAC
Molecule: ribosomal RNA, 176 nt
Filed under: Cronobacter sakazakii
Lineage: Bacteria; Pseudomonadati; Pseudomonadota; Gammaproteobacteria; Enterobacterales; Enterobacteriaceae
Description: partial 16S ribosomal RNA
Rfam family: Bacterial small subunit ribosomal RNA
Source: RNAcentral